GGGCAGCGCCAGGCUCCCCCCACCCCCACCCCGCCGGGUCCCCAGCCCACUCCGGUGUGCAAAGUUUCCGCGCCCGAGCGGAGUUGGCGCGGCGUCCUCCGCCCUGGGGCUCCUGCCCCGGCGCACGGCCAGCCGGCCCGACCCGGCUCUUCCGGGCGGCGGAGGGGAGGGCGGGGCGGGAAGCAGCAGCCCUUACCUGGGACGGCCACCUCCAGCCCCAAGCGGGGCGCGGGCGCGGGCGCGGGGAGAGGGGCUCGGCGGAGGGCGCGGAGCCAGGCGCGGCCCGGGCCCGGGGUGGCGGGGCCCGCGCGGGGGUCGGGGCGCAGGGCCUGCCUCUCCCGGGAACCUGGGCCGGGCUGGCCGCGCUCGGUCGCUCCUGCUGGCGCUGGCCUCUCCCUCCGCGCUCUCGGCUCCCUGCUCCGGGCGAGAGUGGGCCGGCGCCUGCAUCACCGUGACAUCACCUCCAUUCAGGCGCUUAUCGGGCGGCCGCCGCGCUCCAGGUAUGUGCAAUCCGUUUGCACAGUAACAAAGCGCGCGCGGCCCUCCCCCCGCCGCCGACUCACCUCCAGGCUCCGGCGAGGCGCACUUUCCGGCCGGGGAGGGAGCUCGGAGUUUCUGGCGGAGCUGGCCCGAGUGUUGUUGCUGUUUACCGCCACGCCCCCGCACACGGACGCGCGCACUCACGCGCACUCACGCGCACUCACUUUCAGGAUUCGCCUUUCCCUCCGGAAAGCGGUUUGGGGUGCAGCCCAGCGCGCUCCCUCGCCCCGCAUGUCCCAGCGCUCACACGCGGACACGCGUGGGGCCCCCCGCGGUGCGUCUCAGCUAGCCUCGGUCACCUCCGCCCCGGCUCCCCCGUGGGGCACACACGCCGGGCACAGGUCGCUGCUCCCGGCUGAAGCGAGGCGCACACUCAGCAGAGUGCGUCUUUGUCACGCCUUCUGCGCCCCCUCCCCUCCCCGAGCGUGCACACGUGGACACACCACACACCGACAGUCCGCCUCCUCCACGAGCGGCCUUGCCCCCGGCACCUGGGUCACCAAACGUGCAUGGGGCGGGGGGGGGGGGGCGCUGCGAGCGCGCCUGCCGCGGUGGGCCCGGCCGGGAUCCACUCCGGAUCGUGAGCAGACGGCGCCCCGGGCCCGACUUGCCUGCGCCUGGAUUUCCCGCGACCGCCCCAGCACCGUCCAACUGAGCGCGCUCCCCUCCCGGCGCCCCCGUUCCCUGCUCCGACUUGUCCUAAUUAGCCGUCACGGUCAUGUUCCCCGCGGUCCCCUGCGCUCCGGGACGCCUCGGCCCUGA
RNAcentral lists this long non-coding RNA (1302 nucleotides) under Canis lupus dingo (dingo). RNAcentral describes it as "lncRNA (ENSCAFG00020021827.1)". The record is from RNAcentral. Lineage: Eukaryota; Metazoa; Chordata; Mammalia; Carnivora; Canidae.